Non-coding RNA from Zootoca vivipara (common lizard), 3481 nucleotides. NCBI's taxonomy places the organism in Eukaryota, Metazoa, Chordata, Lepidosauria, Squamata, Lacertidae. The record is from RefSeq and is a predicted model, not a curated record.
UUGGAUGGCCACCUGUCUGGGAUGCUUUAGCUGAGAUUCCUGCAUUGUAGGGGGUGGACUAGAUGCCCCUUGGGUUCCUUCCAACUCUAUGAUUCUGUGACCCAUGGAAACGUUGCACAAUGAACCACCACAAUAGCGAAGUCAAUCCACCCCCUUCAGAGAGCUAAUCUGUAGUCACACCUGUGCCACACCUGAGCAUCCAUGACUACAGAGUAUACACAAACGUCGGGCCUGGGACUGCCCCACGUCUUGUUUGAGGCCAGUCUGGUGUAAAGGCUGUUGAGAGAGCAGGGACAGAACAGGUGGGAUCUAUUGUUUAUGGAGCAUAUUAUUUCGGUCAGAAUCAAACUUUGCCCUCUUGUGAAUUGCAGGGGGUUGGACUAGAUGGCCCUCGUGGUCCCUUCCAACUCUACAGUUCUGUGAUUCAGAUUUAGAAAUUGAUAGAUUGAGGUGGGCAGGUUAGUUUUCAGGUUGAUCUUUCCUUUUUCUUUUUUUUCACCAAAAGAAUUCCCUCUUUCAUCAACAGGAUUUGCAGCUUAAAGAAACUAAAAUGCAGGUUAAGGAGGAGAUUAUCCAUUAGGGAAAAGAAAUUCAAAGGCGUUGUUGAUUUCCCCUGCUUCCUAGAUCAAGUUUUGAACCGAUUCCAGGCUGUUGUAAUUAAUUAUAAAGUUGGCGGGAUUACUGCAAGGCUCGGAUGCUGUAGAAGUAGCAUUUGGUUUGUAGGCAGUGUAGUUAGCUGAUUGUAACCGUUUUCCCGAGCAAUCACUAGCUUCACUGUUAUCAAAACAAGGCGCAGAAUUCCCCCAAUGGCAGACCUCACCAGCACUGCAGAAAACAUCCGGAAAGCUGGUUCUCGGCUUGAACCCAAAGAAUUACUAUCUCUCUCUGUUCAUAAUAUCCUGUUUCUUCGUAGAAGCCACCAGCUCACCAGCAAGCAAGACAAAGGGGCUUUUAAGAGAUGAUGCUGACUCAAGGAAGGACACUGGAAUGGUUGCCAAGAAUCUGUGUUGCCCUGUGACCUGCAACAUUAGGAACACACUGGCAGCCUUGUUACGAUUUUAGCACUGGUUGGGCAUGAUCCUGUCACAGCAGAAUUUGGCCAGGGUUGAAUGGGGUGGGGUGGAGGGAUCAGAGCCCUGGGAUCAAGAAGAAGCAAAGCACCAGGGGUGAAGUGGGAGAGAGAAGCAGACAGCGGCAAGUGCCAGAGUCUAAGGCAGGCAAAAAAAGGCUAGGUUCCCAAAGCAGCCCUGUGCCUGAGGAAGUGGAACCUGCCAAACGGGAAGGAAGAGCAUAUGGGGCAUGCCAUUUAUAGAACACAGUGGAGCUACAUUGGUUCUCUGGGUCACCUGACUGGGUGCUGACGGAGUCAGCAGGUGAAGUUUCGUAACGCUGCUCAGGGGUCACCUCUGGAUAACAGUCAGACGCUCCUACUGUCUAAAUGGUGUAGGAAGCAAGGCCCUGGCGCCUGGCAUCCUAGUUUGAGGGGCCUAGCCUUUCACAGCCUUCGUCAACCUGGUGCCCUCCUGGACUGCAACCCCAAGCAGCCCCAGCCAGCACACUGGCACCAGGUUGGCAAAGACUGCCUUAGAAAUCCACUGUUGAAGGUCACCUGGCCUGAAUCUGCUGCUGGAGGACAGAUAUCCUGCAACCGUAGUAUAUUUAAGGACUCGUUUUCCUGUUAUGCUACAUAAACCAGAGUAGGGGAGCUCAUUCUGCAUACUCAACUCCUUUUAAUAUUCCCCACUUCUUGUGUCUUUCCCCUUUAUCACAAGAGAGGAGUAACAUGGGAUGCUCUUUGCAAUCAAGAGUUGACAGAAGUGAAGCAAGUUGUACGUGGUUGCAGCUAUCUGAUUCUAGCUUUUGUCCAUAUGCAAUACUCAAAGUCAUUAUACACACAUUUGGGAACACUGAAAGCUCCUCCAUCCUUUCAGCCAGCCCUGACUUUUUUCCACCAUCAAUGUAUUGGUUUUUGAAAUGGAGCAUGAAUUACUAUGCUUUGGUUUGGGGGGGGGGGCAGAAAGAGUUGGCCAGAGUGGCCUUUUUCAAAGAUAGUGCUUAUUUUCUUCCUUACGCCAUGUAAGGGAAUAGGAGACAGGUUACGUUUCUUCUCCUCGACAUGCCUGGUGGGCAGAGCAAAAAGGAGCACCAGCAGUUUGAUCCCUGCUGAAAGAACUAUGUGCAAACAGUAGAUAGAAGUAAAAUACUGCUGAAAUUUAUGGGGGAGGAAAUGGUGACUGCCUGGAAAAGUAUUGUUAUUUUACGCACUCUUCACCCUAAGUAAGUGCAAACAUAUCCAGAAGCUAAAGGGGGGAUGGGGAACCUGCCACCCUCCAGAUGUUGUUGGACUCCAACUCCCUCCAGCCCCAGCCAGCAUGGCAAAGUCAGGAAUGAUGGGAAUUGUAGUCCAAUGAAGCCUGAAGGGCCACAGGUUGAAGAACACUUAACUAGAUUUAUAUGGGUUAUUUCCAACUCUGUGAUUCUAUAAUAGCAAUUGCAAGACCACCAUCACUUUUUUCCACUUUUUAAAUGUAAAUCAUAUUGUAUCUUUGAAAUGUAUCCUGUUUAAACACAGGUAUAAAGUACAUAAUGCAGAGGAAGCAUCCUGCCCCAUUCUGUGCAAACAUACCAUUUUGUCUUCAGCACAGGGUUCAGAUUGAGCCCUUUUUUAAAAUUAACCGUUGAGAUGGAUGUAUUUUCUAUAAGAUCUAACUACAAAAUGUAGGCUUAAAUCUAAUUGCUGUCACUUAAGAUAAUGUGGGAGGCUCGCAGUUAAGGAGGAGGAAAUUAGGCUGCUGGAAAACGAGUCUAAACACCAGCCUUGUUACCAGGCAGUGUAGUUAGCUGACUGACGAAGGCAACAGUCACUAACAACACGGCCAGGUAAAAUGGCCUGUCUCACCUCUGGCUAGGAAACAUGACUGUUUGCAUGGAAGCUUUGGCAACUGAGACCUGGAAGUGGCAUUCUUUGAAGAAAAAUCAAUACAGAGGGUAAAGAACUGAAGAGGUCCCCUCCAGAAGAUGGCACCUAUGUACUUCAUAUGUACCUGCUAGACCACAUAGAUCUGGGCACUGGUGCUUGUAAGGGCCAGUGUUUGUUCCACACUUGCAAGGAAUCAAUUCUUCAGUGUGGCAGCCCCUACUCUUUGGAACACCCUGCCCCACUGAUACUACCUUUGCUGCAUUGUUAUCAGUGCCUACUAAAAAUGUUUAUCUUCCAGCAUACCUAAUGAGGCAUGUAAUUUUAGCAUACAAUUGUGAUAUGAUUUUAUGUGUAAUGUGAUUUUAGUAAGCAUAAUUGUUUUUAAAUUACUGGUUUUAUCACACAGAAAGAGAGACACACACACAUAUACAUGUAAACACUUUUUAAAUGUUUGUUUUUAUUGGUAUUUUUAAUUAAUAUUUCAGAUUGUCUUUUGCAAAUCACUUAGAGGUCUUUUGAAUCUGUGUUGAAUACAUUUUGUUAAAUAAAAAGUUAAACCUG